CCUACUGCCUGUAGAUACAUUUAUUUUUGGUAUUGCACAAGUCAUGUCUUCUGUGACUGUUCAGGACUUUAAAAUACUAAAUCCCUGGGAUGUGUUUUAGUUGAUUUUAGUCUCUGAUGCAUGAUUUUUUAUUAUUAAUUGUUUUGGCAUUUAACUAGCUGUCAGUAAGUGCGAGUACUCUCAAAUCGUACUUUAAUUUGACCUGUUGAUACUAGUUGUAAUGCUAUUUUGUUAUUUAAUGUUAUCAUGGAUCUUGUCUGAAUACCAGCUUUGAUUAUUAGGAAUUACUACAAAUUUUCAAAGUUUAUGUAGUUCAUACGAGUUUCUCGUUUCUUGUUUUUAUAUAGAUUAGACCGUUGGUUUUCCCGUUUGAAAGGUUUUACACUAGUAAUUUUUGGGGCCCUUUAUAGCUUGCUGUUCGGUGUGAGCCAAUGCUCCGUGUUGAAGGCCGUACCUUGACCUAUAAUGGUUUACUUUUAUAAAUUGUAACUUGGAUGGAGAGUUGUCUCAUUGGCACUCAUACCACAUCUUCCUAUAUCUAUAAACGCAAAAACUCAACAUUGACCAAUGAACCAUGAAAAUGAGGACAAGGUCAGAUGACACCUGCCAGCUAGACAUGUACACCUUACAAUCAUUCCAUACACCAAAUAUAGUAGACCUAUUGCAUACAGUAUAAGAAAAACAGACCAAAACACAAAAACUUAACUAUAACCACUGAACCAUGAAAAUGAGGUCAAGGUCAGAUGACACCUGCCAGCUAGACAUGUACACCUUACAAUCAUUCCAUACACCAAAUAUAGUAGACCUAUUGCAUACAGUAUAAGAAAAACAGACCAAAACACAAAAACUUAACUAUAACCACUGAACCAUGAAAAUGAGGUCAAGGUCAGAUGACACCUGCCAGUUGGACAUGUACACCUUACAGUCCUUCCAUACACCGAAUAUACUAGACCU
Mytilus californianus (California mussel) is the source of this 954-nucleotide long non-coding RNA. RefSeq lists it as uncharacterized. Lineage: Eukaryota; Metazoa; Mollusca; Bivalvia; Mytilida; Mytilidae. The transcript is spliced from 3 exons. The record is from RefSeq and is a predicted model, not a curated record.